GCUCUGCAUCUAGAUUUACCUCGUUCUCUUUUGUCUCCGCUUUUUUUUCACAUUUCCUUGCGACCCUGGCCCUUGAGCGACAAAAAGGGGAAGCCAAGGCUGGCCCGAGGAACGGAGAGGGCACAUGGCCUAGCCACAAGUGGAGCUUCUGCUCCGCCCGAAGGGAUGCGCUGGAGCGGCCUCUUCCUUCUGCCACGGUCUUUCUUUGCCAACUAUAGAGAUGGGGUUUCACCAGGUUAGCCAGGCUGGUCUUGAACUCCAGACCUCAAGGGAUCCGCCUGCCUCAGCUUUCCAAAGUGCUGGGAUUACAGGUGGAGACUGGACCUCAGAAGAGGGAGUGGGUGCCCCGAGAACUCACAGCUAGCGGACAGUGGAAAGGGCAGGAGCCGGACCAAGGUGAGGACAGUGGAACUGAAGGCCGCUGGUUACCUCUCCUGCCCUCCGCUGGCCACAGUGGAGAAGACAGCCCCUCCCUCCUGCUCUGACCUGACAGUGUUCAUCCAUCGCCCUGUAUUAGCGAAGAACAACAUCAAGCUGGCUAGCAAGGAACUGUAUACAGGGUCCAGCUGGGUAUCACACUGGAUCUCACCCAAAGCUUAGAUGUGAUCCAGCUCAGUAUCACAAAGCAGAACGAAAAGGAUGUGUUUGGGCUGAGAGGCCAUACAUUGGCUCCGGCAUGACGGGUGACUUCUUCCGAGUCUGGCUUCUGCAGCACACAGGGCUUCGCCAGCACCCAGCUCCUGCAGCAUGGGCAGCUCCUGUGACAGCAGGCGCCCGCAGCCUGCAAAGCGUCUCCAGUGCCGCCGCCUCAGUGAACCUCAACCAGCGGCACCUAGCAGCUUUCUCUGCCACCCUCUUCAGGUAGUUCUGUAGCAGCGCGUUUCUCAUGAGACACUUCCCUGUGAGCAGCUUUUUCUACCCUUGAGGAUGGAUUUCCAGCAAAUUCUGCCCAUGUGGUACCACAGCCACUUCUCUGCCAUUCAGUGAAACUGCCGUUGUGCCCUCUUCAAGGUCUGGAUCUAAGCCCAGGGACCAGGAAACCUCUUGCUUGAGUGCUGGAACUCAGGCCAGAAGGCAGGAAGCCCGCCUGACCCCAUGUCUCAGGCUGCCAGAGGAGCGUGCGAUGAGGAAGGCUGGACUGUCUUCACAGGACACCAGGGAGAAGCCUCAAGCCACUGCCCCCUGACAAGUCGCAGCUCUCCAGCCUGUCUCCUCACUCCCCUCCCCUCCACAUGGGGGGGUUGGGGUGGGGGCGGGGAAGGUUCGGGGCAGGGGUCAUUUCAGCUACUGGGCACCAGUCUCCUCCUCAUGUUUAUCCUGUUCCCUUUGCUUGAAAGGUUCGUACUCCAGAUCCUUGUAAAACCGCUUCUCACCCUUUGAGUCUCAGCUUAAAUGUCCCCUCCUUGGAGGGGUCUUCCCUGACAAUGAAGCUCCGACCGUCCUCUCCUGUUUUACCCAGUUCAUUUCUUUCUGGCAUUUGUAACUACUUGAAGUUAAAGUGUGUGCCAUGU
RNAcentral lists this long non-coding RNA (1511 nucleotides) under Homo sapiens (human). Its description in RNAcentral is "HSALNT0384228". Lineage: Eukaryota; Metazoa; Chordata; Mammalia; Primates; Hominidae. The record is from RNAcentral.